AUUGAACGCUGGCGGCAGGCCUAACACAUGCAAGUCGAGCGGAUGAAGGGAGCUUGCUCCUGGAUUCAGCGGCGGACGGGUGAGUAAUGCCUAGGAAUCUGCCUGGUAGUGGGGGAUAACGUCCGGAAACGGGCGCUAAUACCGCAUACGUCCUGAGCGAGAAAGUGGGGGAUCUUCGGACAUCACGCUAUCAGAUGAGCCUAGGUCGGAUUAGCUAGUUGGUGGGGUAAAGGCCUACCAAGACGACGAUCCGUAACUGGUCUGAGAGGAUGAUCAGUCACAUUGGAACUGAGACACGGUCCAGACUCCUAAGGGAGGCAGCAGUGGGGAAUAUUGGACAAUGGGCGAAAGCCUGAUCCAGCCAUGCCGCGUGUGUGAAGAAGGUCUUCGGAGUGUAAAGCACUUUAAGUUGGGAGGAAGGGCAGUAAGUUGAUACCUUGCUGUAUUGACGUUACCAACAGAAUAAGCACCGGCUAACUUCGUG
This 484-nucleotide ribosomal RNA is filed under the name uncultured bacterium. RNAcentral's name for it is "partial 16S ribosomal RNA". It matches the Rfam family "Bacterial small subunit ribosomal RNA", at positions 30 to 507 of the family's 1533-position model. The record is from RNAcentral.